GCUGCGGUUAAAAAGCUCGUAGUUGGAUCUGUGCCAUAGGACGUGGUCCACCUUUUUGGUGCGCACUACGCUCCUAGGCUUUUUGCUGGUUUUCCCGUCGUAGCCUUCACUGGUUGCGGCGGGUGGCUGGCGAGUUUACUUUGAGAAAAUCAGAGUGCUCAAUACAGGCGUAUCGCUUGAAUGAUUGUGCAUGGAAUAAUAGAAAAGGAUUUCGGUCCUCUUUUAUUGGUUUUGUGGACUGAGAUAAUGGUUAACAGGGACAAACGGGGGCAUUCGUAUCGCUGCGUGAGAGGUGAAAUUCUUGGACCGUAGCGAGACGCCCUACUGCGAAAGCAUUUGCCAAGAAUGUCUUCAUUAAUCAAGAACGAAAGUCAGAGGUUCGAAGGMGAUCAGAUACCGCCCUAGUUCUGACCGUAAACGAUGCCAACUAGCGAUCCGCCGGWGGAUUUUUAGCCCUGGUGGGUAGCUUCCCGGAAACGAAAGUCUUCCGGUUCCGGGGGAAGUAUGGUUGCAAAGCUGAAACUUAAAGGAAUUGACGGAAGGGCACCACCAGGAGUGGAGCCUGCGGCUUAAUUUGACUCAACACGGGGAAACUCACCCGGCCCGGACACCGUAAGGAUUGACAGAUUGAUAGCUCUCUCAUGAUUCGGUGGUUGGUGGUGCAUGG
RNAcentral lists this ribosomal RNA (667 nucleotides) under Nematoda environmental sample. Its description in RNAcentral is "SSU rRNA". It matches the Rfam family "Eukaryotic small subunit ribosomal RNA", at positions 614 to 1298 of the family's 1831-position model. The record is from RNAcentral. Lineage: Eukaryota; Metazoa; Nematoda.